This 520-nucleotide ribosomal RNA is filed under the name uncultured Glomus. Its description in RNAcentral is "SSU rRNA". It matches the Rfam family "Eukaryotic small subunit ribosomal RNA", at positions 569 to 1091 of the family's 1831-position model. Lineage: Eukaryota; Fungi; Glomeromycota; Glomeromycetes; Glomerales; Glomeraceae. The record is from RNAcentral.
AGCAGCCGCGGUAAUUCCAGCUCCAAUAGCGUAUAUUAAAGUUGUUGCAGUUAAAAAGCUCGUAGUUGAAUUUCGGGGUUAGUAGGCUGGUCAUGCCUCUGGUAUGUACUGGUCUCACUGAUUCCUCCUUCCUGAUGAACCUUAAUGCCAUUAAUUUGGUGUUUUGGGGAAUUUGGACUGUUACUUUGAAAAAAUUAGAGUGUUUAAAGCAAGCUAACGCUUGAAUACAUUAGCAUGGAAUAAUGAAAUAGGACGUUCGAUCCUAUUUUGUUGGUUUCUAGGAUUGACGUAAUGAUUAAUAGGGAUAGUUGGGGGCAUUAGUAUUCAAUUGUCAGAGGUGAAAUUCUUGGAUUUAUUGAAGACUAACUACUGCGAAAGCAUUUGCCAAGGAUGUUUUCAUUAAUCAAGAACGGAAGUUAGGGGAUCGAAGACGAUCAGAUACCGUCGUAGUCUUAACCAUAAACUAUGCCGACUAGGGAUCGGAUGAUGUUAAUUUUUAAUGACUCAUUCGGCGCCUUAC